Molecule: small RNA, 542 nt
Filed under: Pongo abelii (Sumatran orangutan)
Lineage: Eukaryota; Metazoa; Chordata; Mammalia; Primates; Hominidae
Description: processed transcript
Source: RNAcentral
AUAGCUGGCAAGAAACCCCAUGGGAACAAAGAAGGGCUCUGGGUUUGCAGAGAGCCGAAAUGACCAUGACUGCCAACAAGAAUUCCAGCAUCACCCACGGAGCUGGAGGCACUAAGGCCCCUCGGGGGACUCUGAGCAGGUCUCAGUCAGUCUCUCCACCUCCAGUUCUCUCCCCACCAAGGAGUCCCAUCUACCCGCUCAGUGAUAGUGAAACCUCAGCCUGCAGGGCCUCCGGAGGAUGAGCAGGACCUUCUCCGAGUGUUCCUACCCAGAGACUGAGGAGGAGGGAGAGGCGCUCCCUGUCCGGGACUCUUUCUACCGGCUGGAGAAACGGCUGGGCCGGAGUGAGCCCAGCGCCUUCCUCAGGGGGCAUGGCAGCAGGAAGGAGAGCUCAGCAGUGCUGAGCCGGAUCCAGAAAAUUGAACAGGCCCUGAAGGAGCAGCCAGGCCGGGGGCUCCCCCAGCUCCCCAGCAGCUGCUACAGCGUGGACCGGGGGAAAAGGAAGACUGGAACCUUGGGCUCCUUGGAGGAGCCGGCAGGGG